GGGGAAUCUUGGACAAUGGGCGCAAGCCUGAUCCAGCGACGCCGCGUGGGUGAUGAAGGCCUUCGGGUUGUAAAGCCCUUUUCCCAGGGACGAUGAUGACGGUACCUGGGGAAUAAGCACCGGCUAACUCCGUGCCAGCAGCCGCGGUAAGACGGAGGGUGCUAGCGUUGUUCGGAAUUACUGGGCGUAAAGGGCGCGUAGGCGGCUCAUUAAGUCGGGUGUGAAAGCCCAGGGCUCAACCCUGGAACUGCAUCCGAGACUGGUGGGCUCGAGACCGGGAGAGGAGAGUGGAAUACCCAGUGUAGAGGUGAAAUUCGUAGAUAUUGGGUGGAACACCGGUGGCGAAAGCGGCUCUCUGGCCCGGAUCUGACGCUGAGGCGCGAAAGCGUGGGGAGCAAAC
This 400-nucleotide ribosomal RNA is filed under the name uncultured bacterium. RNAcentral's name for it is "bacterial SSU rRNA". It matches the Rfam family "Bacterial small subunit ribosomal RNA", at positions 356 to 773 of the family's 1533-position model. The record is from RNAcentral.